AGGUCAGACGUUUAUUAGACUGUUUUUAACGUCUUCAUACUUAAUCCACGGAUUGGUAUUGUUUGAUAGUUUAGUCCGGUAGAACGUAAUUUAUUGAUAGUGGGUAUUGGCUUUGUACAAUCCUUUAGUAGAAGGAACUGUUUUCGCGGUGCUCUGUGCUAUUGUUUUUGUUCUACUUGGUUUUGUGCCUUAAACAUACAUUUUAACAUGAGCCAAUGCCAACUGAUUUUUAUAGUUUGUUCUUAUGUUGUGCUGUUACACCACUGUCUCAUCUUAGGAGAGGAUAGAGCGCUAGCAGACAUGUUUCGUCCCGUCAAAAUAUGUAUAUGCCUGUCCCAAGUCGAGAACCGGUAGUUCAGUGGUUUUCGUAGUUUUAUGUCAUUCAUUUGUGUUUUUCAUAAAUUGUUUAGUUAUAAAUCAGGCCGUGAGUUUUUAUUGUUUAAAUUGUGUAAUACAUUUCAUUGCGAUGCCUGUUAUAGACGACUAUAAGAUAUUGGGUUUCCUAAAAGUUGACGACAAUACGGCUUCCUAUAAUUGCUUACAUUUACUU
Molecule: long non-coding RNA, 550 nt
Filed under: Mytilus galloprovincialis (Mediterranean mussel)
Lineage: Eukaryota; Metazoa; Mollusca; Bivalvia; Mytilida; Mytilidae
Source: RNAcentral